AUUGAACGCUGGCGGCAGGCCUAACACAUGCAAGUCGAGCGGAUGAAGGGAGCUUGCUCCUGGAUUCAGCGGCGGACGGGUGAGUAAUGCCUAGGAAUCUGCCUGGGAGUGGGGGAUAACGUCCGGUAACGGGCGCUAAUACCGCAUACGUCCUGAGUGAGAAAGUGGGGGAUCUUCGGACCUCACGCUAUCAGAUGAGCCUAGGUCGGAUUAGCUAGUUGGUGGGGUAACGGCCUACCAAGGCGACGAUCCGUAACUGGUCUGAGAGGAUGAUCAGUCACACUGGAACUGAGACACGGUCCAGACUCCUACGGGAGGCAGCAGUGGGGAAUAUUGGACAAUGGGCGAAAGCCUGAUCCAGCCAUGCCGCGUGUGUGAAGAAGGUCUUCGGAUUGUAAAGCACUUUAAGUUGGGAGGAAGGGCAGUAAGUUAAUACCUUGCUGUUUUGACGUUACCAACAGAAUAAGCACCGGCUAACUUCGUG
This 484-nucleotide ribosomal RNA is filed under the name uncultured bacterium. Its description in RNAcentral is "partial 16S ribosomal RNA". It matches the Rfam family "Bacterial small subunit ribosomal RNA", at positions 30 to 507 of the family's 1533-position model. The record is from RNAcentral.